RNAcentral lists this long non-coding RNA (983 nucleotides) under Brassica napus (rape). RNAcentral describes it as "long non-coding RNA (BNAP_LNC015727)". Lineage: Eukaryota; Viridiplantae; Streptophyta; Magnoliopsida; Brassicales; Brassicaceae. The record is from RNAcentral.
AACAAAAUACAUAUAAUGGUAGAGGAUGCAUGUGUUACAAAGAAAAAAGAAAACAAAGUCGGGAAAAAAAGAAAAAAAAAGAAAGAAAGAUAAAAGCAAGAUACUUUAGUGAAAUUUUCUCAUUGGUCUAUACCUUUUGACAAGGAUAACUGUCUUAACCAUUGAUCAAUUUGAUCUAAUGGCUCAUAUUACUUCAUUCCUUUUUCUCUCGUUCUCCCAUGUACCUUUUCCUCUGUAAACAAGUAUUAUCUUCUUCUACAAACGAUUCUCUUCCUCUUAACACAAACAAAUCGAUUUCAUCGAUUCUGGUCACCUAAUUCCUUUCUUCUACUCCACUCACAUAAUCUUUUCACCAACCACUAUAGUAUUUUAUCAAACCGAAUCUCUUCCUUCUGCCAUCACCAGAUCUCCUUCACUGUCUACCAAAUCUACUCCUACGAUACGAUGUUGUUGUUGCGCCUGAGACUGGUGUGAGAUGCAGUUAUCGUCGGAGUUGUUCUUGCACACGGAGAUUCGAUGUUUGGCAUCAGAUCUAGAUCGUACAAACAUCUCGGCUCACCGAUCUGGUAUGGAGACAAUCUGGAUGAGACAUUCCGCAUGUAGUGACGAGGCGGAGGAGUGACGAACCAGAGGCAAGGUGUGACGAACUGGAGGCUGAAGCGGAGGCGUGACGAACCGCAGGCAGAGGCGCGACUAACCGAAUGCAGAGGCGUGACGAAUUGAGGCAGUGAUGUGACAAACCAGAGGCUGAGGCGGAGCUGUGCCAGCGAAGUUAAAUCUCCAGUCAAGCUCACGCUUGUGUAUAUGUGUGUAUAUAUGUUAUAUGUAUGAUAUAUAAAUAUGUAUAAGACACCAUAUAUACGAAAAACAUAUUUGUAUUGUUUUUUAAUUCAUUAAUUCUUAAUUUACUAAUUAUUUUUUUUUUAUUUUUUUUUAAUAAAUAGUUACGGAAUAGUCACAAACAUUAAGCGUGACAAAUAUAA